This 2821-nucleotide ribosomal RNA is filed under the name Triticum aestivum (bread wheat). Its description in RNAcentral is "partial small subunit ribosomal RNA". Lineage: Eukaryota; Viridiplantae; Streptophyta; Magnoliopsida; Poales; Poaceae. The record is from RNAcentral.
UCGGGCUAUUUAUUUUUUGAGGGAGGGGGGACGGGGCGGAGCGGAGCGGAGAGGCGAGCGUGAGUGGCGCGCCGCGUGCGGGCACUAGGCGGAGCGGCCGAAGGCGGCGACGGGGCGGCGGCGGAGGCUAGAGCCGUCCUCCCGCGCGCCUCCUCCGUCUCCCUCUACCGCCGCCUCCUGCCGCGCUCCAGCGGGUGGUCCUACGACCGCCUCCCCGUAGACGCCUAGCGGUGUCCGCCCGCCCGCGGCCGCCUGCCGCCCUAGCGGCAGGCGGUGUAGGGUGUGGUGGUGUGGCGAUUCUUUCUACAACCACCCUUUUAACUUGUUCUGUUGGAACCUCUACGUUUAGACAAUGGUAGGGUUCUCAACCCGUUUAAUCAAUUACCUUGAUUUUUCCAAGGACGAUGUAAUCUACUGAUGUCCUUCGAACAUCAAGGUCAUUAACUCCUCAUAAAAUCAUGUCCUCUACACCUUGACAGUCAAAGGCUCGAUUCCUCAGAACCUAGGCUAGUCAAAGUGUUAAUGAAACACUUCUUCGAGUAUAGGUACCGUUACCUGGCGGUACUAUUUCUUUUUCUUUACCGCAGUUAAGACGACAGACGGAACAUACGACUAGAUAACCUGAGGAGGUUCUACUCACUUCCAAAAUACUACGAAGAUCUCAGUUGUCUUCUAGACAGACACCUAUAUGGUCUGCGAUAACUACAGAACCGACAAAAACACCGUGCACGGUAACAACUACUUUAUGACGGAGGACAAAAAGAGUGAGCUCGGUCUCGUAACGAAGGUCUUAGAAGUUUUCCAUAACUCCAAGACGUCCAACGACUCUUCUCGAUGAACAGUCGAGGAGUGGUACGUCUCAAUCAACUUGCGUUCACCCCACCCUCGUGUGUGAAGUGACAACUUCUCCGCUUUUUCUCCUAGGUCCUAUAAGACUCCCUCAUGUAACUCUCACCUCUGUGUCUACUUCGGAAAUCCACGUAUUCCCUCGACCCGGAAGGUAAGAAGGUGGUACUCCAACACUUUGCACGAGAGUAGGAACCAUAGCUCUUAGACAGCAGUGUCGGUAAUUAGGACUUCAACAACUUCCUUAGUUGCUGCCCAACAAACUAGUCAAGAUUAGUUCACAGCUUCCCAAAAAGAGCCCAACGCCUCUGACAACUACUGGACUCGGAACUACAAGGAAGUCGGUUUUGUGAAAAACUGUUCGACGAAAGGCGUCGGUAUAGACUUCCCACCGAACUACGAAGUAAGACAUUUAGACGACGGGGACCACUUCUAUACACCUUACGUUCGUCACUUUUCCACUUCGUAAAAUUUCUUCUCAGACCAGUGUAUUAAGUCCUCAUAAAGGAGAGUCUACUGCAGGGCCUUGAGUAAUCUUCGGAAGUUCUCGAAAGACGGGGACUUAUGUUGCGGUAAAAGGAAUUCUUCGAGUAGUGCGAACGAUACCUGUCCUUCUUGUCCCUCUUCCUCUACCGAAGACAUGAAGAAAGAAGUGAGUCGGACCUUGAUAAAAGGUGUCCACUAUAGUACUUCCCUAAGUAUUACGAGGACGUCAGUCGUCUUCUGUGGCGGGAGCUGUAACACCUACGAGGAUCACUUGAGCGGGAGAAGGACCGGUCCCGUCACUAGCUACUUCAGAACGAAGGUGACUUAAACCUACUGUAGUCAUCGUUCGACGCGGGUUUGUCGUCACCAUCAGUUUGACAGGUCUACCGGUCGAGAGACGAACGCCGGGCGGUAAGGCCACUCUCCUAUGACGCGACGACCCCACCCCCGUGACCGACCCGACACCUUCUACGUUUCCUGUUCUAGAGGUUCGAGGAACUCCUCAUGUUGUGUCCGCCGCUGGACUUCCUUCGGACGGUCACGUAGGCGCUGGAACCCUACGGGAAGAAGUUGGUACUUCACCACUUCUUUCGCGACCACUACCGCUACCUCUUCGUCUUACUUCGAUCGUAGAACCGAGACGACGUCCUCACGAGGUCGCUCCCCGACUAAUGGUAGUUGGUCUACUGGUUGCCGAAGCGGGCGCAGUUCCUUCCGGAGCUGCUAGACUGGGAGCUGUAGGGCUUGCGCGUCCUCUUCAAGUCUCCGAUACACCUCGAGCGCUGUCUCGCGCCGACCGACGAUGGAAGGAAGCGGAGGGACGGGACUCGAGAAGGGGUUGUCUGCCGACUCGAACUUCUUUAUAUGGAGACAUAUAGCAUGUGGGUACGACAGAAAUGGUGGUAUGGCUUGAAGAAGAGGACAAGAUCAGAAAUGACUCGGCUUUACCAUACCAUAUGGCCUCACACUAUCCCAACAACCACAUAACCAGACACUGAACCUCUCAAAUUCCUUAUUGCGGUAAACCGAAGUCCUGAUCACCUCAACAAAAAUUUAACGACAGGUACCGAAAGACGAAAACUUUAAGAAACACGCAAACAUCAUUAUACAAAAGCACCGGAACCUUAUCCCACAGGUUCCACUCUACCGUCUUGUGUUUAUCCUCAUCGAGUGUUAUGCCUUCGAUGGCGCCUUCCAAGAGAGGGCUUCGGAGAGGGUGGCGGGAGGAGCCACGCUUUGCCGAGGAACCGCUAGCUAAGGCUGGCGCGGGACUACGGAGGGAACACCCAUAACUCGAAGAAGGAGGACUAAAGUUCUAUUAUGACAACUCCGUUAAUAGAAAGAAAAAGACGCUUUCCUCCGUUAAUAGUAGAUUCAUACCGUCAUGAACAUUAAAGUAUCGAUACCAAACGAUCUCGAGAGUUUGUAGAAUGACGCCUCUGAUUUUUUUGUAGAAAUUAUCAUCAAUUCACCAUGUCGAGUAGACAAA